GUGCUUUAUAAGGGGCGGCUGGACUCUCAGACUAAGCCAGUUCCCGUGGCCUCUGCUCGACAGACUUCCCAGCUCAGCUAUUGGCAAUCUGAAGCUGCUUUUGCAAUCUCUCUCUCUCUUUACAUCCUCUGCAACGUCUGGAUUUCCAUAAGCUUCUUAAAGAAAGUUCACUGCAGAAUUUGAGACUCGUUAACAAUGCCGAAAGGCGCUUUGAGAGAGAGAGAAAAAACACUGAUGAAUGGCCCCAGCGACUUGCCAUUAAAUUGAAAAGAGUGUGAUAUUUCCGGGAUGUGUGGUUUGAGAGGAUUGUGAUCAAACAGAGACAUUCGCCGCCCCCCCACCCCGCCCCCCACCAUGGCUCUGCCCUCCCUCUACAAAAAGCCACGUCAGGAAAAAGAAGAGGAACACUUCACUGUGACCCGGGACAGUAGUGGGUCAGACUUGGGAAGCUCAGGUUACAGAUCCUACAGGAGGCAGAUGGGACGAUCUCUGGGAGAUUGGAAGAUUCCCUCGCCUCUUUCUCUUUCUCUCUCUUUCUCUGUCUCGCUCGGUGUGAAUAGUUGGACGUUUCUUCCCCCACUUCCCCCCC
Long non-coding RNA from Chiloscyllium plagiosum (whitespotted bambooshark), 589 nucleotides. RefSeq lists it as uncharacterized. Lineage: Eukaryota; Metazoa; Chordata; Chondrichthyes; Orectolobiformes; Hemiscylliidae. The record is from RefSeq and is a predicted model, not a curated record.